Molecule: unclassified non-coding RNA, 444 nt
Filed under: soil metagenome
Description: partial contains 5.8S ribosomal RNA, internal transcribed spacer 2, and large subunit ribosomal RNA
Rfam family: 5.8S ribosomal RNA (bases 1-121)
Source: RNAcentral
GAUGAAGAACGUAGCAAAAUGCGAUACGUAAUGCGAAUUGCAGAAUUCAGUGAAUCAUCAAAUCUUUGAACGCAAAUUGCGCUCUCGGGAUAGGCCUGGGAGCACGCCUCUUUGAGUAUCGUUUCAACCACAACUCGAAAGCGUGCUUAAUUGCAUGCUGACGGAAAUUGAGCGCUUCUCGAGCAAUCGAGACGCUUGAAAUUGAGCGAGUGACAACGAUUUCUGACGUGAAAUUGACUCUGUCUCAAGUGACGAGGAUAACUUCACAUUCAAUUGUGAACCCUUCCUUCGUGACUCUCGAGGCGGGUUGUUUCAUGCUGGUCAUCUGCAAUGUUGCGGACCAUCUGCACGCGUCUCUUACGAUGGCUGCAGAACUCUAUUUGAACUAGAUCUCAAAUGAAGCGAGAAAACCCGCUGAACUUAAGCAUAUCAAUAAGCGGAGGA